AGACCCGAAACCCGGUGAUCUAGCCAUGGGCAGGUUGAAGGUUGGGUAACACUAACUGGAGGACCGAACCGACUAAUGUUGAAAAAUUAGCGGAUGACCUGUGGCUGGGGGUGAAAGGCCAAUCAAACCGGGAGAUAGCUGGUUCUCCCCGAAAGCUAUUUAGGUAGCGCCUCGUGAAUUCAUCUCCGGGGGUAGAGCACUGUUUCGGCUAGGGGGCCAUCCCGGCUUACCAACCCGAUGCAAACUGCGAAUACCGGAGAAUGUUAUCACGGGAGACACACGGCGGGUGCUAACGUCCGUCGUGAAGAGGGAAACAACCCAGACCGCCAGCUAAGGUCCCAAAGUCAUGGUUAAGUGGGAAACGAUGUGGGAAGGCCCAGACAGCCAGGAUGUUGGCUUAGAAGCAGCCAUCAUUUAAAGAAAGCGUAAUAGCUCACUGGUCGAGUCGGCCUGCGCGGAAGAUGUAACGGGGCUAAACCAUGCACCGAAGCUGCGGCAGCGACACUCAGGUGUUGUUGGGUAGGGGAGCGUUCUGUAAGCCUGUGAAGGUGUGCUGUGAGGCAUGCUGGAGGUAUCAGAAGUGCGAAUGCUGACAUAAGUAACGAUAAAGCGGGUGAAAAGCCCGCUCGCCGGAAGACCAAGGGUUCCUGUCCAACGUUAAUCGGGGCAGGGUGAGUCGACCCCUAAGGCGAGGCCGAAAGGCGUAGUCGAUGGGAAACGGGUUAAUAUUCCCGUACUUGGUGUUACUGCGAAGGGGGGACGGAGAAGGCUAUGUUGGCCGGGCGACGGUUGUCCCGGUUUAAGCGUGUAGGUGUGUGUUCCAGGUAAAUCCGGUUCACUUUAACACUGAGGCGUGACGACGAGGCACUACGGUGCUGAAGCAACAAAUGCCCUGCUUCCAGGAAAAGCCUCUAAGCAUCAGGUAACAUCAAAUCGUACCCCAAACCGACACAGGUGGUCAGGUAGAGAAUACCAAGGCGCUUGAGAGAACUCGGGUGAAGGAACUAGGCAAAAUGGUGCCGUAACU
RNAcentral lists this ribosomal RNA (1027 nucleotides) under Salmonella enterica subsp. enterica serovar Muenster. Its description in RNAcentral is "partial 23S ribosomal RNA". It matches the Rfam family "Bacterial large subunit ribosomal RNA", at positions 711 to 1735 of the family's 2925-position model. The record is from RNAcentral. Lineage: Bacteria; Pseudomonadati; Pseudomonadota; Gammaproteobacteria; Enterobacterales; Enterobacteriaceae.